This 239-nucleotide ribosomal RNA is filed under the name uncultured bacterium. RNAcentral describes it as "partial 16S ribosomal RNA". It matches the Rfam family "Bacterial small subunit ribosomal RNA", at positions 118 to 348 of the family's 1533-position model. The record is from RNAcentral.
UGAGCAAUCUGCCCUUCUCUUCGGAAUAAGCGUUGGAAACGACGUCUAAUGCCGAAUACGACCUCCUUUCGCAUGAUCGGAGGUGGAAAGCUCCGGCGGAGAAGGAUGAGCUCGCGGCCUAUCAGCUAGUUGGGUGGGGGUAAUGGCUCACCAAGGCAACGGACGGGUAGCUGGUCUGAGAGGAUGGGCCAGCCACAUUGGGGACUGAGACACCGGCCCCACGACCUCUACGGGGAGGG